AGAUGCAGUGUAUGGUAUGUUCAAUUUCUAGUAUGAGAAAUUAACGAUUUAAGUCCUUCUUAAAUGAGGCCAUUUACCCAUAGAGGGUGCCAGGCCCGUAUAACGUUAAUGAUUACUAGAGAACAUUUCCAAAGAGUCGUGUUGCUUGAUAGUGCAGCACUAAGUGGGUGGUAAACUCCAUCUAAAACUAAAUAUAACCAUGAGACCGAUAGUAAACAAGUACCGUGAGGGAAAGUUGAAAAGAACUCUGAAUAGAGAGUUAAAUAGUACGUGAAACUGCUUAGAGGUUAAGCCCGAUGAACCUGAAUAUCCAUUAUGGAAAAUUCAUCAUUAUGAUUGUGAUAUGAAUAAUAUCUAUAAUAAUGGUGUGCAUUUUUUCCAUAUAAGGACAUUGUAAUCUAUUAACAUGCCAUAAUUUAUCACAAGAUCGAUGACUUAAGUUUAUUCAAAUUAUUUUGCUUGCAAUUUAACAUAGAAUAAAUGUUGUUGAUUUGAUAAAGUGUUGAUAGAUUUAUUAUAUACAGUGCUUGAAUAUUUAUAUUCUAUAAUAGCAAAGUAAUCAUGAUUAUUGUGUUUAUUAUAUGCACUUGUAUGAUUAACAAUGCGAAAGAUUCAGGAUACCUUCGGGACCCGUCUUGAAACACGGACCAAGGAGUCUAACAUAUUUGCAAGUUAUUGGGAAUUAAAAACCUAAUAGCGAAAUUAACAUAACUUAUAUAAUGGGAUUAGUUUUUGUCUAUUUUUA
This 745-nucleotide ribosomal RNA is filed under the name Pygophora unicolor. RNAcentral's name for it is "eukaryotic LSU rRNA". It matches the Rfam family "Eukaryotic large subunit ribosomal RNA", at positions 141 to 764 of the family's 3401-position model. Lineage: Eukaryota; Metazoa; Arthropoda; Insecta; Diptera; Muscidae. The record is from RNAcentral.